RNAcentral lists this ribosomal RNA (289 nucleotides) under uncultured Endozoicomonas sp. RNAcentral describes it as "partial 16S ribosomal RNA". It matches the Rfam family "Bacterial small subunit ribosomal RNA", at positions 1093 to 1382 of the family's 1533-position model. Lineage: Bacteria; Pseudomonadati; Pseudomonadota; Gammaproteobacteria; Oceanospirillales; Endozoicomonadaceae. The record is from RNAcentral.
CGAGCGCACCCUUGUCCUCAGUUACCAGCACGUUAUGGUGGGCACUCUGGGGAGACUGCCGGUGACAAACCGGAGGAAGGUGGGGACGACGUCAAGUCAUCAUGGCCCUUACGGCCAGGGCUACACACGUGCUACAAUGGUGCAUACAGACGGUUGCCAAGCCGCGAGGUGGAGCUAAUCUGAGAAAGCGCAUCGUAGUCCGGAUUGGAGUCUGCAACUCGACUCCAUGAAGUCGGAAUCGCUAGUAAUCGUGAAUCAGAAUGUCACGGUGAAUACGUUCCCGGGCCUU